Molecule: ribosomal RNA, 496 nt
Filed under: uncultured bacterium
Lineage: Bacteria
Description: partial 16S ribosomal RNA
Rfam family: Bacterial small subunit ribosomal RNA
Source: RNAcentral
GACGAACGCUGGCGGCGUGCCUAAUACAUGCAAGUUGAGCGCUGAAGGUUGGUACUUGUACCAACUGGAUGAGCAGCGAACGGGUGAGUAACGCGUGGGGAAUCUGCCUUUGAGCGGGGGACAACAUUUGGAAACGAAUGCUAAUACCGCAUAAAAACUUUAAACACAAGUUUUAAGUUUGAAAGAUGCAAUUGCAUCACUCAAAGAUGAUCCCGCGUUGUAUUAGCUAGUUGGUGAGGUAAAGGCUCACCAAGGCGAUGAUACAUAGCCGACCUGAGAGGGUGAUCGGCCACAUUGGAACUGAGACACGGCCCAAACUCCUACGGGAGGCAGCAGUAGGGAAUCUUCGGCAAUGGACGAAAGUCUGACCGAGCAACGCCGCGUGAGUGAAGAAGGUUUUCGGAUCGUAAAACUCUGUUGGUAGAGAAGAACGUUGGUGAGAGUGGAAAGCUCAUCAAGUGACGGUAACUACCCAGAAAGGGACGGCUAACUACGU